UACAAUGGAGAGUUUGAUCCUGGCUCAGGAUGAACGCUAGCGGCAGGCUUAAUACAUGCAAGUCGAGGGGCAGCAGGUCUGUAGCAAUACAGAUGCUGGCGACCGGCAAACGGGUGCGGAACACGUACAGAACCUUCCUUCGAGCGGGGAAUAGCCCAGAGAAAUUUGGAUUAAUACCCCAUAGUAUACUAAAGAGGCAUCUCUUUGGUAUUAAAGAUUUAUCACUUGAAGAUGGCUGUGCGGCUGAUUAGGUAGUUGGCGGGGUAAAGGCCCACCAAGCCUGCGAUCAGUAACUGGUGUGAGAGCACGACCAGUCACACGGGCACUGAGACACGGGCCCGACUCCUACGGGAGGCAGCAGUAAGGAAUAUUGGUCAAUGGACGCAAGUCUGAACCAGCCAUGCCGCGUGAAGGAUGAAGGUCCUCUGGAUUGUAAACUUCUUUUAUAUGGGACGAAAAAGGGGCUUUCUAGCUCAACUGACGGUACCAUUUGAAUAAGCACCGGCUAACUCCGUGCCAGCAGCCGCGGUAAUACGGAGGGUGCAAGCGUUAUCCGGAUUCACUGGGUUUAAAGGGUGCGUAGGUGGGUUGGUAAGUCAGUGGUGAAAUCCCCGAGCUUAACUCGGGAACUGCCAUUGAUACUAUCAGUCUUGAAUACCGUGGAGGUCAGCAGAAUAUGUCAUGUAGCGGUGAAAUGCUUAGAUAUGACAUAGAAUACCAAUUGCGAAGGCAGCUGGCUACCCGAAUAUUGACACUGAGGCACGAAAGCGUG
This 772-nucleotide ribosomal RNA is filed under the name Chitinophagaceae bacterium. RNAcentral's name for it is "bacterial SSU rRNA". It matches the Rfam family "Bacterial small subunit ribosomal RNA", at positions 1 to 763 of the family's 1533-position model. Lineage: Bacteria; Pseudomonadati; Bacteroidota; Chitinophagia; Chitinophagales; Chitinophagaceae. The record is from RNAcentral.